AUUGAACGCUGGCGGCAGGCCUAACACAUGCAAGUCGAGCGGAGCGGCGGACGGGUGAGUAAUGCCUAGGAAUCUGCCUGGUAGUGAUGGAGAAAGUUCGGAAACGGGCGCUAAUACCGCAUACUAUUGGAUGAGGCUAGGUCGGAUUAGGUAGUUGGUGGGGUAAAGGCAUACCAAGGCGACGAUCCGUAACUGGUCUGAGAGGAUGAUCAGUCACACUGGAACUGAGACACGGUCCAGACUCCUACGGGAGGCAGCAGUGGGGAAUAUUGGACAAUGGGCGAAAGCCUGAUCCAGCCAUGCCGCGUGUGUGAAGAAGGUCUUCGGAUUGUAAAGCACUUUAAGUUGGGAGGCGUUACCAACAGAAUAAGCACCGGCUAACUUCGUGCCAGCAGCCGCGGUAAUUC
This 407-nucleotide ribosomal RNA is filed under the name uncultured bacterium. Its description in RNAcentral is "partial 16S ribosomal RNA". It matches the Rfam family "Bacterial small subunit ribosomal RNA", at positions 30 to 526 of the family's 1533-position model. The record is from RNAcentral.